Molecule: microRNA precursor, 100 nt
Filed under: Marmota monax (woodchuck)
Lineage: Eukaryota; Metazoa; Chordata; Mammalia; Rodentia; Sciuridae
Source: RNAcentral
AGUGGAAUUGCAGGGCCAUGUGGUAUUUCUGUUUAAUUUUGAUGAAACUACCAAAUUAUUUUCCAAAGUAGCUGCACCAUUUUACAUUCUCACAACCAGU